Girardinichthys multiradiatus is the source of this 886-nucleotide long non-coding RNA. RefSeq lists it as uncharacterized. The transcript has 3 exons. NCBI's taxonomy places the organism in Eukaryota, Metazoa, Chordata, Actinopteri, Cyprinodontiformes, Goodeidae. The record is from RefSeq and is a predicted model, not a curated record.
UCCUUUUGUUCCCUAGUCAGAUUCUGCAUGUGGGUCAGGAAACUUUACAGAAAAAUGACACAAAGUGCUUAUAUGGAAAUUGGUUGAGGAGCUCAGUGGGAAACACGGGACUAGAUUUCACUUCUAGCCUGGGACAUAGUGAUCUUUUUUGAAUUGAGUGUUGCUGGGGAGAGUAAUGUUCAGGCUUUCCUCUUAAAACUGUCACCCCAUGACCUGAUCUUGGAUAAGCGGAAGACAACGGGAAACGGAUGGAUGCUCCUCAUAGAGCGUAAAAAAACAAUGAAGAAGCCUUUUGGAUGAGAGAUGGUGCUUGAGUUCUCAGGUGCGCUGGGUGACAGGUGCGACUAAUCUGCUGAUUGCUUGGAGGUGUACUUAAGCAGGAGGCUGCCAGCACUUCAGCGACAGAGUGUUUACCUUCAGUGGUUGUUUUACCUGAAUCUUCGGAUAACCCUUGUUGAUGCCUGACUUCGCUCUCAGCAUACUUUUGCUGUUUUGGAUUUUCGACUUCUGGAGAAAGUUCGCCUAUUUUUGUGCAUUAAGAUCCAAGAUUCCUGUUUACUUUGUCUGGACAAAGACCUGCUGACAGCUUCCUGUUUUCACCGUCAUCUGAACCUUGGCAUAAGCGUAGCCUGUUCACCCUCCAACGCAAGUACCACCAUUCUGAACUCAUCAUCAUCCCUCACAGAUCUCUCAAGCCUUACCAGAGAAACUUCUGUGCCAAACACUCAGACUCCGAAUCCCUCUACCUCCCCAGCGGUUAGAUUACUCCAACAUAGUAAGCUUCGUCUCAUAACUCAUUAAUCACGUUAAGUGUAGUGUUUUGAUUUAUUUAUUUCAUGUUAACUAUAGCAUUUCGAUUUACCUGCUUUUUCUCUUUCUUUGUACA